This 367-nucleotide long non-coding RNA is filed under the name Mytilus galloprovincialis (Mediterranean mussel). Lineage: Eukaryota; Metazoa; Mollusca; Bivalvia; Mytilida; Mytilidae. The record is from RNAcentral.
GGACCGUAUGAGUAUACGCGUAUGGUCCAGUACGAGCUGACCAUACAUGUUAUUAGAUCAUAUGGGUUAAAUUUUAAAAAAUUAACAUUAAUCACAAUUUUUUUUUCAGAUUUACUAAUUUAAUAUUAUUACAAUUACACGGAUAAAAUGAACAAAUGAACAAUUGAAAUUAAAUAUUUGUUUAAUUGUAUAUCUUGAUCCUACUUUUGGUACUCUCAACCAAUGUUACACUGGCUACCACAAGUAACGUACUAAUAUUUUUUACAUUUACAUUUUUGCAGUUCGUGUAUGUUCCUUAGCAAAAAUAUUUUUUGGUAAAGUUGCUAAAUAUUCUAAAACAAUUGUCCUCCCACAUUAUAUUUACUUC